CCUACGGGAGGCAGCAGUGAGGAAUAUUGCACAAUGGGGGAGACCCUGAUCCAGCAACGCCGCGUGAGUGAAGAAGGUUUUCGGGUUGUAAAGCUCUGUUAGCAGGGGAGAAGAAGGACGGUACCUUCAUAGGAAGCCACGGCUAACUACGUGCCAGCAGCCGCGGUAAUACGUAGGUGGCAGGCGUUGUUCGGAAUAACUGGGCGUAAAGGGUGCGUAGGCGGUUAAACAAGUUAUAUGUUAAAUAUAUAGGCUUAACCUGUAGAAAGCAUAUAAAACUGGUUAACUAGAGUGCAGGAGAGGUAAGUGGAAUUCGUAGUGUAGCGGUGAAAUGCGUAGAGAUCAGGAAGAACACCAGUGGCGAAGGCGACUUACUGGACUGUAACUGACGCUGAGGCAUGAGAGCAUGGGGAGCAAACAGGAUUAGAUACCCUUGUAGUC
This 441-nucleotide ribosomal RNA is filed under the name uncultured bacterium. Its description in RNAcentral is "partial 16S ribosomal RNA". It matches the Rfam family "Bacterial small subunit ribosomal RNA", at positions 338 to 795 of the family's 1533-position model. The record is from RNAcentral.